Molecule: long non-coding RNA, 2830 nt
Organism: Anolis carolinensis (green anole)
Lineage: Eukaryota; Metazoa; Chordata; Lepidosauria; Squamata; Anolidae
Exons: 4
Source: RefSeq, a predicted model, not a curated record
CGCUCCAUGCAGUCAUGCCAGCCACAUGACCUUGGAGAUGUCUAUGGACAACGCCGGCUCUUCGUCUUAGAAAUGGAGAUGAGCACCAACCCCCAGAGUCGGUCACGACUGGACUUAACCUCAGGGGAAACCUUUACCUUACUUUAUCUGUAUUCUCAGUUUGCUACUGACAUGAUAAAUAAAUAUCUUAAAAUCAAAGAAAUACAAUUAGUUACAAAUUCAUAUUCAGAAUACACACUUACGGUGUGUCCUGCGAAAAGAGAAAGCUGUAUUCAGCAACAUGUGCACACUUGAAACAUUUCACCAAAAUUAUGUAUACAUUUCAGACUUUGCACCAAUGCAUUUUAUCAAUGUGUUGCCCUGAAAAAUGCAUGCAAAGAUUGUUUUAGGUUUUAUUAACAGGGACAGUCUGCAUGGAACUAGCCCGGAACAGACUUGGAAGUGGGAAAAGGAGGACGUCUAUGAAAACAGACUAGAAAGAUCCACUCAUCUCUAGUUAGUGCUGCAAAUACAAGGCUGGGGUUGAAGAGCUUCGGAGUGAUUAUCCAGCAAGAUGACAAUUAUGGCUUUGUAUGUAAGAGAAGAAAUAUGACAAAACUAGUUCUGAGUACCUUUCCAUAUUUGUGUUGCCCAGCAGUAAAAGGUCAGUCUUUUGAACAUUCCUGUCAACACACCCUGGAACACUAUGCAUUAUUCCGAGCAACCCCAGACUUGCAGAACCUGUAGGGAAUGGGGGGGGGGGGGGUGAGGAAGGACAGUAUGCAAGCGAGAUAAUGAAAUUGCUUAAAAACCCAUUUUUUUCAUGCUCAAGGGCAGAGAAGAUCAAGAAACAACCCAAUCUGGAAGAUGAUGAGGCGAGUAGAGAGAGCAAAGGUGGGAUGACAACAGCCUACAAAUAUUUGCAGUGUAAACAUCAAGAAGACUGAUUUGUCAUAAUGAUGGGUGAGAUUAAUGAUUCCCAACCUGUGGAUGCUCAAAGUUGUUGGACUACCAUUCCUAGAAUACCUCACCACUGGCCAUUAUAUAGAAGAGUAUCCACCCGAGCACUACGAAUCUCGUGCAGAUCCCGAGGUCCCAGAGCGCAGGCAAGACAUAUUCUGAUAUUGGUCCUGGACCCUUUACACAGGGCAACUCAAUUGAAAUGUGCAGCAGACUAACCGCUGAGAGCUUGCUGACCAGCACUGAUCCACAGCCUUACACUUUGCAUGAGUCUAAAGGAAAUACUAAAAACUCAGCAUGAUCUUGUUGGCCAGUGACAAGGAUGGUGGUUUGGAAAGGAGGCUGAGCUCCUACUUGUAUGAAGAAGUCUCAUGGUCUCUUACAUUAGACGGACUCAAACCAGGUGUAACUUUUGGUACUUUGGCUGUGACUGUAUUGGUGUCAGGUGUUGCUGCUACAACCUAUUUUCAUGUAACACCAAGAAUCCUAACUUCAAGGUUUCUGAUCACCUACUGGGCCCUCCCAAAACAAUUUGUUGCCUCAUUUAUUGGACAAAGUGUCACCCAUUCACUUACACCUUCCAGGGCGAAUAAAUGAAGGGUGCAAUUUGUCCGAACACCUGCCCCUUUGGAGGUAUGGGGCUUCAUUCAGCUGGCAGGGUGGACACGGGGAGCAAAGCUUCACUCGCUCACAUGCCCGGCUCCUUUUCAGCUACAGGGCUGCUGGCCGAGUAAAGCCUUGUACAGCAGAGUCUCACUUAUCCAACAUUCUGGAUUAUCCAACGCUUUUUGUAGUCAAUGUUUUCAAAACAUCAUGAUAUUUUGGUGCUAAAUUCGUAAAUACAGUAAUUACUACAUAGCAUUACUGCGUAUUGAACUACCUUUUCUGUCAAAUUUGUUGUAUAACAUGAUGUUUUGGUGCUUAAUUUGUAAAAUCAUAACCUGAUUUGAUGUUUAAUAGGCUUUUCCUUAAUCCCUCCUUAUUAUCCAACAUAUCCAAUUUUGGGCACCGCAGUUGAAGGGAGAUGUUGACAAGCUGGAAAGCGUCCAGAGGAGGGUGACUAAAAUGAUUAAGGGUCUGGAGAACAAGCCCUAUGAGGAGUGGCUUAAAGAGCUGGGCAUGUUUAGCCUGCAGAAGAGAAGGCUGAGAGGAGACAUGAUAGCCAUGUACAAAUACGUGAAGGAAGUCAUAGGGAGGAGGGAGCAAGCUUGUUUUCUGCUGCCCUGGAGACUAGGACACGGAACAAUGGCUUCAAACUACAGGAAAGGAGAUUCCACCUGAACAUCAGGAAGAACUUCCUCACUGUGAGAGCUGUUCGACAGUGGAACUCUCUGCCCCGGACAGUGGUGGAGGCUCCUUCUUUGGAGGCCUUUAAACAGAGGCUGGAUGGCCAUCUGUCGGGGGUGCUUUGAAUGCGAUUUCCUGCUUCUUAGCAGGGGGUUGGACUGGAUGGCCCAUGGGGUCUCUUCCAACUCUACUAUUCUAUGAUUAUAUGAUUCUAUGAUUAACUUAUCCAACGUUCUGCCGGCCCGUUUAUGUUGGAUAAGUGAGACUCUACUGUAUCUCGAUUUUUUUCACUCCAUAAUAGUCACAUCUCUCUCUUUCAGCCAAAAAAGAAAUGAAAAGUGUGACUAUUAUGCGGUGAAAUAUAGUAGCUAAAUCACAUGCAACAACUGUCGCUACUACAUUAUUAUAACCACAAACAACACUGGGAGACACCAUUAGAGAGGGUGACACCAUGCUGACUACAGUGGGUGUGCAGUGUUUCAGCAGAAUUGUAAGAUUAUUUUAUUUUUUAAAAAUCUCCCUGUGGUUAAAUAUAACCAAAAGAACAUUUCUCAUAAGCCCAACCUGAAUGUACUGUAUCAAUAUACUGUCAACUCAGUGCUGA